RNAcentral lists this ribosomal RNA (396 nucleotides) under uncultured bacterium. Its description in RNAcentral is "partial 16S ribosomal RNA". It matches the Rfam family "Bacterial small subunit ribosomal RNA", at positions 523 to 918 of the family's 1533-position model. The record is from RNAcentral.
AUACAGAGGGUGCAAGCGUUAAUCGGAUUUACUGGGCGUAAAGCGCGCGUAGGUGGCUAAUUAAGUCAAAUGUGAAAUCCCCGAGCUUAACUUGGGAAUUGCAUUCGAUACUGGUUAGCUAGAGUAUGGGAGAGGAUGGUAGAAUUCCAGGUGUAGCGGUGAAAUGCGUAGAGAUCUGGAGGAAUACCGAGGGCGAAGGCAGCCAUCUGGCCUAAUACUGACACUGAGGUGCGAAAGCAUGGGGAGCAAACAGGAUUCGAUACCCUGGUGGUCCAUGCCUUAAACGAUGUCUACUAGCCGUUGGGGCCCUUGAGGCUUUAGUGGCGCAGCUAACGCGAUAAGUAGACCGCCUGGGGAGUACGUUCGCAAGACUAAAACUCAAAUGAAUUGGCGGGG